Molecule: ribosomal RNA, 3430 nt
Filed under: Triticum aestivum (bread wheat)
Lineage: Eukaryota; Viridiplantae; Streptophyta; Magnoliopsida; Poales; Poaceae
Description: partial small subunit ribosomal RNA
Source: RNAcentral
GUGCUAGCGUCCGUCAUCAUUUUUUUUUCAUGGGAGCGCUGGACCAAGGUGGAGGGGAGCGUCGGAAGGUUUAUUUUUUUUUGUUCUGGGUGCAGGGCAGAGGGUCAGAGGGGGUGGAGAGAGAGGGCUAGGUAGGAGAGCUAGAGCGCUCUUUUUAGCGGUGGAGCGGAGGCGGUGACGUUGUUGGCAGCGAAGGUAUCUGAUGCAGCUGUCGCAGAAUCUUCCAACUGGGGACGCCCCUUCAACCGCCCUCGAGCGCCGGCUGGUCUAGGUCACGUCGCGGCGGCUACAGACCCACCUUCUACUCGCGCUCGAAAGCCCCAGUCGUAUGGCGGCCCCUCCUCCCGUCUGCCUACUCUCCCUCCGAGAGGUUCCUCCUUCGGCUGGUCGAACAGUGGUCCCCUUCGGCUGGUCGUAUAUAUAUCCCCACCUGAUAGAAACUCUAGGACGCCAUGUACAGCCUCGUAUUGACCAGCCACAUGCUCCUCCGGGAGUUCCGGUUAGGCCAAGAACCGUUCUACUACUAGUAGUCGCAGCAGAUGAGGGAGCCGCUGACCUAUCGGGUCGGGUCCCACGAGCUCGCGCUGCUGUGCGGAUGACUCAAGGAUCGCGAGCGCUUGCGGCCUCAACCUGCGCGGGUACGUACGUAAAAUCUAGGCUCCUGCCGUAGCACUUGCAUUCGUGAGUCAACGAGGAGUCGUCGUCAACUAGGUGGACCCCAAGAUGAACUCAAGGAGGCAGGGGACCGUCGCUCCGUCGUCCAGGGGCAGGGGGGAGAGGCAGAGGCCGUACAACUAGGGCCACCGCAGUGUCGCCACCGUACACACCACAGUACAGUAUUAUUCCAUCGUAGACAAGAAAGGGGUGGGAUUAAAAACACCAGUCGUAGGCCUCGGGUUGGAUGGUUAGCAACAGGGGUUUGGAGUGACUGAAGAAUACACCCACGAGAAAGAAGGGGGAGAGAGCAAAGUGAACUGCGACUAUCGACUAACGAUCUUAGGAGCCAACACGAGAACAGAAGAUUUAAACCGUACCAUACGUAAACGAACUCUACUCCCAUACCCUACCUCCACCGUUAUUAAAGCUCCAACACCAAAUAACCCGAAUAUUAAAGCUGUACUAAUUACUAUACUUGGCAUACAAGUCAAAAGGUGUUAUAACCAAAAAAGAUACGUUAUACUCCGAUACAAAGUUCAAUAAUAAUAGAUAACGGAACGUAAGCUACCGACAUGUCAUUGUACGAGAGACUCUUUUCCAAUACAAAGUACAAUAAUAAUAGAUAACGGAACGUAAGCUACCGUUUAACUGUUGGCUACAGUAUAGAAACGGGUGAGUACUACGGCUAUUUAUCAAGUUUUUUUAAUCUUUCUGCAUAUAUAAAGUGACACGAUCGAUGCAUACAAAUAUUACCAAAUAAAAGUGGUUUUAAAACGACGUGAAACUGUCAUCUGAUACACUAUUAAACAUUGUCUCAAGUCUCUUUGACCCGUUGUGUGUCAAGGUUUUCACACGUGAUGUGUACCUUCUUUUGUGACAUCAUAAUCGACAACAUUAGAUGCUUUAAAACAUGACGCACUCACUCCAAUUCUUACCGAUUGACUAACUUGAACAAGUGUUGUAAUUGUCAUUAGUACUACUUGAAUCAUAAGGACUGAAAGAUAAAGUACAACAAAAGAUGACAUCUGGAUAAACGUCCAAAAAUGUCUCCUUAAUCAAAUCCACAAUGACCAAGUGAACGAUGUAGACUUUGCAUAAAACAACAAUAACAAUGACUUAGUUGAUUCUGUACCGACCUCGUGUGAUUAGGAUUAGAUUCUCCGGUAAAGAGAGUGAAUAAACGACCUCCUCAAUUCUCUCUUUUAUAAAAAAUACUGAUAACACAAAAGAAAGGUCUUUUAGACGUACUGCGCCGCAUUUUAAAUAUGACCAAGAGUCGUACAAUGAUCCUAGAUCGACGUGUUUACCUAAAAACAUACAGGACGUACGUAACAACUCCUUUAACAAUUGACCAUCAACAAGCCAACCGACCACUCAUCCCCUAAUUAGCCGAUUAGCCGUUCAAUUAGCCGGUAAAUUAGUUGAUUAGCCUGCUAAAUAGCCAAAUAUCCGAUGAGCCACUGGGAUGCUCAUCCCUAAUUAGCCGUUCAAUUGACCAAUUAGCCUACUUAAGAACUUGUCCCGGACGUACCUCAAGAGUUUUUCAAUAAGGAACAGUAAAACAUCACGGUGGUUAUGUAACCCAGAAACAUAUAAUUUUGGAAAGACCAGAGACAAAACCGAGUACAUUAUGAAUGGCUAUGCUAAAUGAACAAGUAGUCUUAUUACACAACUAAGGAACUGUGUAGUAUUCGAAAAAAGUUCGAGUAAGGUCCUCUAUGUGAACGUAGAAAAUAGAUACACUACACGGAACACUUCAAGACUUUGUUCCUUACGUACUGGUUCCGAGGUUGUUUAGUAGUCGUGAUUUACGAUGUCUUCCUUUACUAGAUACGGUAGACAAAAUAGAUCUCUCUAGUACCACACUUCCCUGAGUUAUAUCCCAUGACCAUGACUCACGAACAACGGUAUUGUAUAAAGAAGACAAAAGAAUAUCUCUUUAUUUACUCAAGAAAGCCGGGUUGUUUUCUUUUGUAUAUCAUAGAAGUUCCUUCGUCGUAAAACUCAGUUGUUUAAAAAGGGGGGUACGGUUUUACCUUAGGUACCAUCAGAUCGUAUGAGCUUAUGGCACUAUGUUCAUCCUCAUAGUUUAUGUUCUUUAAAGAAAAAAUACGCGUGUAAGAACCUUCGUACUCACAUACAAGUACCUCUUUUGUACCAGUUAAAAACACAUUUUUUGACUAUUACAAGUUAUGUACAAAUCGUACCCGUCGGUCUGAAGACAAACGAGGCGGUCUGUUUUGGACCAUUGUUACCCAACCUUUCACCUGUUUGUCCUUUUCUCUUGACUCUUCUUCACGGUUCACCAGACGAACCUCAAUCCCCUUAAGUUUCACGUAAACACCAAUAACAAAGACGUAAUACGAACAUAAGUGUUUAACAAGCCGUUUUUACCUUCGUUGACACAUUACCAGUUUCGUAUAGUAGUUCCUGUUUAUCGAUUAGUCUUAAUGAAGACAAAAAUAAACGUAUACUACGGUUAUCGAAAUGAACUUUGUGUAGAACUUCAACUUCACUGUAGAACAACAAAACCCCAUAAUACACUGAUAAAAAACAUGUUACACUUUCUUUGAAUUUAAUGUACUCCGCUUACAUACAUAUCCCCUUCGUUCACAUUCCACUACAAAAACUUUACGUCACUAUUAACGUACCGUGACUAAGAACUUCAAUGUUACUACAAAAUUAGUUACAGAGUUAUAUGUACAAACAACUCGGAUAUUGAGAAGUAUUUUAUUAACUUUAAUUACGUCGAACACGUUUUUAUUGUCCAACC